GAUGAACGCUAGCGGCAGGCCUAAUACAUGCAAGUCGAACGGGCCUGGGUAGCAAUACCCAGGUUAGUGGCGCACGGGUGCGUAACGCGUAUGCAACCUACCUUUUAUUGGGGGAUUGCCCGUCGAAAGACGGAUUAAUACCGCAUAAGAUAUUAGAGUGGCAUCACUCAGAUAUUAAAACUCCGGUGGACAAAGAUGAG
Molecule: ribosomal RNA, 200 nt
Filed under: uncultured bacterium
Lineage: Bacteria
Description: partial 16S ribosomal RNA
Rfam family: Bacterial small subunit ribosomal RNA
Source: RNAcentral